GAUGAACGCUGGCGGCGUGCCUAAUACAUGCAAGUCGAGCGAACAGAUGAGGAGCUUGCUCCUCUGACGUUAGCGGCGGACGGGUGAGUAACACGUGGAUAACCUACCUAUAAGACUGGGAUAACUUCGGGAAACCGGAGCUAAUACCGGAUAAUAUAUUGAACCGCAUGGUUCAAUAGUGAAAGACGGUUUUGCUGCCACUUAUAGAUGGUUCCGCGCCGCAUUAGCUAGUUGGUAAGGUAACGGGUUACCAAGGCAACGAUGCGUAGCCGACCUGUGAGGGUGUACGGCCGCACGGGAACUGGGACACGGUCCAGACUCCUACGGGAGGCAGCAGUAGGGAAUCUUCCACAAUGGGCGAAAGCCUGGCAGAGCAACGCCGCGUGAGUGAUGAAAGUCUUCGGAUCGUAAAACUCUGUUAUUAGGGAAGAACAAAUGUGUACGUAACUAUGCACGUCUUGACGGUACCUAGUCAGAAAGCCACGGCUAACUACGUG
This 497-nucleotide ribosomal RNA is filed under the name uncultured bacterium. RNAcentral's name for it is "partial 16S ribosomal RNA". It matches the Rfam family "Bacterial small subunit ribosomal RNA", at positions 28 to 507 of the family's 1533-position model. The record is from RNAcentral.